AUAAUGAGCAGCUUUCUCUUUUGAGUCACAAUGCCUUACAGUAAUACCUGCCUCACGUGACACCAGACUCUCCUAGAGUCGCACAGUGAAAUAAUUUCCUAAGUGCAAUUCAACUCAGUGUAGAUAGGUAUCAAAUAGCAUCAGAGGCUUCAGAAAUAAAGGAAAUGAAAAUGACUUCAAUGAACUUGGUGGGUGGAAACGGUAAGAACCUGAGUCAAAUAAGAAUUCACAUGAACACAUCCUACACAUGUUCCUCUUUCUCUAGGAGAAUAGCGCUCAAACAGCUUCUAAGAAAACGAAAGUGGCCGCUUUAGAACAAACAAGUUGAAAAGGCCACCACCAAGACGAGACAGAGUAACCUUCAGAGAUGAAGUGAGUGGGGGUAGUUGGAAUCAACUUGGGAGGGUCAGGCCUAGAUUUGCUUUCCAAUCCAGACUGGGAUGGUGGGUCAGAGCCCCUGGGGCCCCUAGUCCUGAGAAGGACUUCUCUUUUCUGGGCUGGACUUCAAACAGGGCCUGAGGAGGCGUGAGCUUUGGAAAGUUCUGGUAUUCCCUAGCUUGACUCAGCUGGACAAGCUGGCCGUUUGAUGAUGUCCUUCUUUUUCUCCUUUCUUAGUCGUCAUCUGGUUACAGAGAGCAAUGCAGUCAAAUAGGGAACUGACCUGUGGCCAAGGAUGAAGAAGAAAUUUCGGACACUCCCAUGAACACUCAUUCUCCAGUUCUAGAAAAUUUAAAGGAACUUGUGACUACCCUUCUUGUCUCCCCUGCUUUCCAUCUGCCCCACAGAGCAUCUCUCUAAU
RNAcentral lists this long non-coding RNA (799 nucleotides) under Ovis aries (sheep). RNAcentral's name for it is "lncRNA (ENSOARG00000026330.1)". The record is from RNAcentral. Lineage: Eukaryota; Metazoa; Chordata; Mammalia; Artiodactyla; Bovidae.